AUUGAACGCUGGCGGCAGGCCUAACACAUGCAAGUCGAGCGGAUGAAGGGAGCUUGCUCCUGGAUUCAGCGGCGGACGGGUGAGUAAUGCCUAGGAAUCUGCCUGGUAGUGGGGGAUAACGUCCGGAAACGGGCGCUAAUACCGCAUACGUCCUGAGGGAGAAAGUGGGGGAUCUUCGGACCUCACGCUAUCAGAUGAGCCUAGUUCGGAUUAGCUAGUUGGUGGGGUAAAGGCCUACCAAGGCGACGAUCCGUAACUGGUCUGAGAGGAUGAUCAGUCACACUGGAAGUGAGAAACGGUCCAGACUCCUACGGGAGGCAGCAGUGGGGAAUAUUGGGCAAUGGGCGAAAGCCUGAUCCAGCCAUGCCGCGUGUGUGAAGAAGGUCUUCGGAUUGUAAAGCACUUUAAGUUGGGAGGAAGGGCAGUAAGUUAAUACCUUGCUGUAUUGACGUUACCAACAGAAUAAGCACCGGCUAACUUCGUG
This 484-nucleotide ribosomal RNA is filed under the name uncultured bacterium. RNAcentral describes it as "partial 16S ribosomal RNA". It matches the Rfam family "Bacterial small subunit ribosomal RNA", at positions 30 to 507 of the family's 1533-position model. The record is from RNAcentral.